AAAGAUGGAUAAAGUUCGACAUAUGUCAUAAGAAUAGGGUCGAAAGAGACCUUUUUCCUUUCAAAAUUCUGUUGUUGUUGUAGUUGUUUGUUCUUUGUAGUGGUUGUUGUUGAUGUUGUUGUUGAUGUUGUUGUUGAACUGACAUUGAUUGAUUGUUGGAAAAUACUGGAAUAACGGAUGAACCUUGAUAAUGAUGUUGACGCGAUUGUGGACUUCUUCUGACAUGAGGCCUCUUUUGCCUCCCUACAAAUACUACAUUGGUUUC
This 265-nucleotide long non-coding RNA is filed under the name Lathyrus oleraceus (garden pea). Its description in RNAcentral is "Pisum sativum (pea) long non-coding RNA (PSAT_LNC013212)". Lineage: Eukaryota; Viridiplantae; Streptophyta; Magnoliopsida; Fabales; Fabaceae. The record is from RNAcentral.